UCUGGUGUAAGUGAGGAGGGAUGGAAUAUUCCAAGGGAACGAUCGGGGAUGUUGAACUCAUUUCCUCCAUAAAGGUAGCUUGUUCCUGCUACACAUAUGGCAACCAUCGUGUUAACAUGCACGUGCAACUUAUCAAUUGUAGUUACACGAUUUUGUUUGGUUGAAUGAGGUUUAGAACAACCUAUCAAAAUGGUACACACAUAUCUUCUUGCUAAAUGUUCCUUUUGUGAGUUUUAAGUCACAG
RNAcentral lists this long non-coding RNA (244 nucleotides) under Mytilus galloprovincialis (Mediterranean mussel). The record is from RNAcentral. Lineage: Eukaryota; Metazoa; Mollusca; Bivalvia; Mytilida; Mytilidae.